Molecule: non-coding RNA, 44 nt
Filed under: unclassified sequences
Description: L31-Actinobacteria ribosomal protein leader
Rfam family: L31-Actinobacteria ribosomal protein leader
Source: RNAcentral
AUGGUUCCGGUUCACGCCCAGUGAACGCGGGCGACCCGGCGACC